GGAGAAGUCGCCUAGUUGGUCGAGGGCGCACGACUGGAAAUCGUGUAACCGUUAAAAGCGGUUCGAGAGUUCGAAUCUCUCCUUCUCCGCCA
This 92-nucleotide transfer RNA is filed under the name Clostridia bacterium. RNAcentral describes it as "tRNA-Ser". It matches the Rfam family "tRNA". Rfam says of the family: Transfer RNA (tRNA) molecules are approximately 80 nucleotides in length. Their secondary structure includes four short double-helical elements and three loops (D, anti-codon, and T loops). Further hydrogen bonds mediate the characteristic L-shaped molecular structure. tRNAs have two regions of fundamental functional importance: the anti-codon, which is responsible for specific mRNA codon recognition, and the 3' end, to which the tRNAs corresponding amino acid is attached (by aminoacyl-tRNA synthetases). tRNAs cope with the degeneracy of the genetic code in two manners: having more than one tRNA (with a specific anti-codon) for a particular amino acid; and 'wobble' base-pairing, i.e. permitting non-standard base-pairing at the 3rd anti-codon position. The record is from RNAcentral. Lineage: Bacteria; Bacillati; Bacillota; Clostridia.